AGCCAUGCCGCGUGUGUGAAGAAGGCCUUCGGGUUGUAAAGCACUUUCAGUCGUGAGGAAGGUAGUGUAGUUAAUAGCUGCAUUAUUUGACGUUAGCGACAGAAGAAGCACCGGCUAACUCCGUGCCAGCAGCCGCGGUAAUACGGAGGGUGCGAGCGUUAAUCGGAAUUACUGGGCGUAAAGCGCAUGCAGGUGGUUUGUUAAGUCAGAUGUGAAAGCCCGGGGCUCAACCUCGGAAUAGCAUUUGAAACUGGCAGACUAGAGUACUGUAGAGGGGGGUAGAAUUUCAGGUGUAGCGGUGAAAUGCGUAGAGAUCUGAAGGAAUACCGGUGGCGAAGGCGGCCCCCUGGACAGAUACUGACACUCAGAUGCGAAAGCGUGGGGAGCAAACAGGAUUAGAUACCCUGGUAGUCCACGCCGUAAACGAUGUCUACUUGGAGGUUGUGGCCUUGAGCCGUGGCUUUCGGAGCUAACGCGUUAAGUAGACCGCCUGGGGAGUACGGUCGCAAGAUUAAAACUCAAAUGAAUUGACGGGGGCCCGCACAAGCGGUGGAGCAUGUGGUUUAAUUCGAUGCAACGCGAAGAACCUUACCUACUCUUGACAUCCAGAGAACUUUCCAGAGAUGGAUUGGUGCCUUCGGGAACUCUGAGACAGGUGCUGCAUGGCUGUCGUCAGCUCGUGUUGUGAAAUGUUGGGUUAAGUCCCGCAACGAGCGCAACCCUUAUCCUUGUUUGCCAGCGAGUAAUGUCGGGAACUCCAGGGAGACUGCCGGUGAUAAACCGGAGGAAGGUGGGGACGACGUCAAGUCAUCAUGGCCCUUACGAGUAGGGCUACACACGUGCUACAAUGGCGCAUACAGAGGGCGGCCAACUUGCGAAAGUGAGCGAAUCCCAAAAAGUGCGUCGUAGUCCGGAUUGGAGUCUGCAACUCGACUCCAUGAAGUCGGAAUCGCUAGUAAUCGUGGAUCAGAAUGCCACGGUAAUACGUUCCCGGGCCUUGUACACACCGCCCGUCACACCAUGGGGAGUGGCUGCAAAAGAAGUAGGUAGUUUAACCUUCGGGGGGACGCUUACCACUU
RNAcentral lists this ribosomal RNA (1079 nucleotides) under Vibrio sp. 754. RNAcentral describes it as "bacterial SSU rRNA". It matches the Rfam family "Bacterial small subunit ribosomal RNA", at positions 390 to 1462 of the family's 1533-position model. Lineage: Bacteria; Pseudomonadati; Pseudomonadota; Gammaproteobacteria; Vibrionales; Vibrionaceae. The record is from RNAcentral.